This 411-nucleotide long non-coding RNA is filed under the name Physcomitrium patens. RNAcentral describes it as "long non-coding RNA (PPAT_LNC002020)". Lineage: Eukaryota; Viridiplantae; Streptophyta; Bryopsida; Funariales; Funariaceae. The record is from RNAcentral.
UUAUUUUCGUUUUCCAUAAAAAUAAAGAUAAAAUCAACCAAAAUCCAAUACCUUCCACCUCAAGCUUUCACGUCGGGUUCACCACUUAUGUCGUAUUAUGUGCUUUCCUACUCGAGAACGCGCCGGGCGUCUGGCUGUAGAAGGUAGUAUGGAGAUUCGCCGAUAGCCAAGCAGUCUAUCAGUUUUUGACUGCUAGAAUAUAAACGACUGCAACAAUGUACCGUAAAUCUAUACGGAUGCUCUUCGACUGCUUGUCGAAGUCUUUUUUUUUUUUUUUGCUCCAGCCGAUAGGUCUCUAGACGUUACAGAGAACCCUGAACAACCCAAACUGUUAAUCUUCAAUACCCCUUUGUACUUACGAUCUUGUAUCCACUGACUGUCCUGUUAGAUUAACCCAAUAAAUUUCAUUCA